AGCUUCCUGGCAUCAUACUGACACUGAGGCUCGAAAGCGUGGGUAGCAAACAGGAUUAGAUACCCUGGUAGUCCACGCCGUAAACGAUGUCUACUAGUCGUUGGGUCCCUUGAGGACUUAGUGACGCAGCUAACGCAAUAAGUAGACCGCCUGGGGAGUACGGCCGCAAGGUUAAAACUCAAAUGAAUUGACGGGGGCCCGCACAAGCGGUGGAGCAUGUGGUUUAAUUCGAUGCAACGCGAAGAACCUUACCUGGUCUUGACAUAUCUAGAAUCCUGCAGAGAUGCGGGAGUGCCUUCGGGAAUUAGAAUACAGGUGCUGCAUGGCUGUCGUCAGCUCGUGUCGUGAGAUGUUGGGUUAAGUCCCGCAACGAGCGCAACCCUUGUCCUUAGUUACCAGCGGGUUAAGCCGGGAACUCUAAGGAUACUGCCAGUGACAAACUGGAGGAAGGCGGGGACGACGUCAAGUCAUCAUGGCCCUUACGACCAGGGCUACACACGUGCUACAAUGGUAGGUACAGAGGGCAGCUACACAGCGAUGUGAUGCGAAUCUCAAAAAGCCUAUCGUAGUCCAGAUUGGAGUCUGCAACUCGACUCCAUGAAGUAGGAAUCGCUAGUAAUCGCGGAUCAGAAUGCCGCGGUGAAUACGUUCCCGGGCCUUGUACACACCGCCCGUCACACCAUGGGAGUUGAUUGCACCAGAAGUGGAUAGCUUAACCUUCGGGGAGGCGUUCACCACGGUGUGGUUGAUGACUGGGGUGAAGUCGUAACAAGGUAACCGUA
This 782-nucleotide ribosomal RNA is filed under the name uncultured bacterium. RNAcentral's name for it is "bacterial SSU rRNA". It matches the Rfam family "Bacterial small subunit ribosomal RNA", at positions 723 to 1504 of the family's 1533-position model. The record is from RNAcentral.